RNAcentral lists this long non-coding RNA (1054 nucleotides) under Equus caballus (horse). RNAcentral's name for it is "lncRNA (ENSECAG00000054803.1)". The record is from RNAcentral. Lineage: Eukaryota; Metazoa; Chordata; Mammalia; Perissodactyla; Equidae.
UACAAAACAAAAGCCCAAAUUUGUAAAUAUAUUGGACAGACAAAAUCACUCUGUCCAUUUACUAUUAAAAUUUAAAGUCUAUACUUAGCUCUUUGUGGAUCAACCACGGUUUAUAGAUCAACUGCCGUCUCUGAGCCACACUCAGGGCGUCACUGCCUUAGAGAGACCUCAAGUCAGAGCAAAAGACCAGCUACCGGGCUAAGUGGUUGUUAACACCCUGUGCCGAGUUCUCAUGGUAAUCCCAUGAGAAGGGCGAGAUGCAGUGAGCGAGAUGAGUCUGAAUCUCAGCAUUCCACCAAGACAAUCUCCAAAAAAGGAAAAGCAAAUGAGCAGAGCUGUUUCUGAGGAUAUGAAAUACUUUACAAUUAAAUAAGGGGCUACUAGAAAAAUUUAAAAAGACAUAUAUUUCUGUUGGACAGUGCUGGCCCAGACAGGACCUUCUCCAACCCUCAAGCCUCAGGCUGCUUUUCUGGUUCUAAAGAGCCCGUGUGUAUACAUUCAAAAUGAAUCAAUAGACGGAAGUAAUUGAGGAACGGUGCACAGAGGUGUUCAUGUGCACAUGGUUCAGAAGGUUGAAAGCACAAAAGUCUUUAUGGUCUUCAGUGGGUGAACAUCAGUAAAUAUGAGAACGCCUUUCAAAUUAAAUUUAAAUGUGAACUCUUCUGACCCAGUGUCUUUGUCUGCCCAGGCUGUCAAAACAAAACACAUGGACUGGGCGGCUGAAACAACAGAAAUUUAUUUCUCGCAGUUCUGGAGGCUGGAAGUCUGAGAUCAAAGUAGUGGACAAUCCCAGUCCUAGAAAAGGGCUCUAUUCCUGCCUUGCAGUCGGCCACCUUCUUGCUACGUCUUCACAAGGGCUUUCCUCUGUACUCACACCCGGAGAGAGAGCCAGAGAUGUCUCUCUCUUCCUCUUCUUAGAAGAACAAAGUCCUAUUGGGUUAGAGCCCCAGCUUUAUGUCAUCAUUUAACCUUAAUUACUUCCUAAAGACCCAUCUCCAAAUAGGAUCACAUUGAGGGUUAAGGUUUCAACAUACGAAUUUGGGAUGGGGGAGGC